CUUUUUUGCCAUUAUGUAGUUUUCUCACUCAAUAAAUACUAAAAGCCCAAAUAAAGUAAAAAUGUGUUGAUAUUAACAAGGAUAUUCCAAUAAAGAAGUAGUUUGGGAAACAUUCAUCUAGAACUAUCUGGCAAUAUAAUGAGCCUCUUUGUGAGGUAAUGGCAGCUGAAACCUAAAAGGUUGUUGGGCAUGCAUUUAAGGCAGGAAGUCAUGGUCCCUGCUCAAAGUCUGAGGAUCUAACUAGACCAACUGCAUGGCUCAGUGGAAGUUUCGGGUAGACAUGCUUGCAGAUGAAGAUGAAGAAACUGACCAGUUAAUCAACUAGCUCAAGGUCAUGCAGCUGGCAAAUGGCAGAGCCAGGACUCGAAUCCAGGCAUUCUGGCUCCAGUACUCAAAAACUGCACAAUAAUCUGCGUCACUCCAAAAUAGGAAAGGAUGACAAAUGUUGCAGGGCCGUCCAGGAAGCUGAGGAUUGAAAAGCGCCUACUGGAUUAGGCACUACGGCCACUGUGAACUCAGCAAGAACUCGCUGCAGUCAACAGUAGGUGCUAAUGAACUGCUCAACAUUAUCAGUGCCUAGGCUCAGCUCUUUUGCGCCAGCAGAGUGCCAUAAGCACGGCCCCUCCCAGCCCCUGCUUACAUUGUCCUCCUCCUCCCACUCCUGCUCCAGACUUGUGUCAGAAAGAGGAGACUCACUCCCUAACUGUAGUCGGGAAAGACAAGACCUACGGCUCCAGCUUCCCAAGGGGGUGAAGAGAUGUGUGGGGUGCCUCUUCAUAACUCAGCAAUUGCACCCAGGCACAGAUUUACACACAUUUGGACCUCAACUCAAUAUCUAUGUCCAGCUUAGUCUCAGCAAAUCUUCAAGCAUUCACAGCUGUCUUCAGGUGCGCAGGGGAUUACUGCGGAGAGAUGUUGAUCGGCUGUUCUCCAUGUCUCCUGUGGUCAGAACAAAAGGAAAGAGGCUUAAAUGUCAGCAAGGGAUUUAAAUGUAAGUGAGAACUCUGUGAGGCAGGGAGGUCCUGUGUACACAAGCAAGAGUUUCCAGCCUUUUUGUCUUAUUUAGCCCUAAAUAUCCCCUUUGCCAUCGUACUACCUCUUUUUGUUUAUUAAAACAAAAAAUACAAAAAC
Molecule: long non-coding RNA, 1131 nt
Organism: Equus caballus (horse)
Lineage: Eukaryota; Metazoa; Chordata; Mammalia; Perissodactyla; Equidae
Source: Ensembl